Molecule: ribosomal RNA, 403 nt
Filed under: bacterium
Lineage: Bacteria
Description: partial 16S ribosomal RNA
Rfam family: Bacterial small subunit ribosomal RNA
Source: RNAcentral
UGGGGAAUAUUGCACAAUGGGGGAAACCCUGAUGCAGCGACGCCGCGUGAACGAAGAAGGUAUUCGUAUCGUAAAGUUCUGUCCUAUGGGAAGAUAAUGACAGUACCAUAGAAGAAAGCUCCGGCUAAAUACGUGCCAGCAGCCGCGGUAAUACGUAUGGAGCGAGCGUUGUCCGGAAUUAUUGGGCGUACAGGGUACGCAGGCGGUUUAAUAAGUCGAAUGUUAAAGAUCGGGGCUCAACCCCGCAAAGCAUUGGAAACUGCUAAACUUGAGUAGUGGAGAGGAAAGUGGAAUUCCUAGUGUAGUGGUGAAAUACGUAGAUAUUAGGAGGAAUACCAGUAGCGAAGGCGACUUUCUGGACACAAACUGACGCUGAGGUACGAAAGCGUGGGGAGCAAACAGG